Molecule: long non-coding RNA, 197 nt
Filed under: Dermacentor andersoni
Lineage: Eukaryota; Metazoa; Arthropoda; Arachnida; Ixodida; Ixodidae
Description: uncharacterized LOC126533855
Source: RNAcentral
GAGCUGUAGUAUAGUGCCGCCCCCUGUCAGAUCUGUGUGUCAUCGUACAUGUAUGUUUUGUAGUUGUUUAGCUAGAUGGCGCACCCCCCUUCUGUCAUGUGACGAGCUUGGGCCAAUCUGGAGGUGUCAUCUAGCGUGUGAAGCCUUUAUAAGUAAUAAACGGCCGCGGGUCGGCUGAGUCUUCGUUCCGGUUUUCA